Molecule: long non-coding RNA, 395 nt
Filed under: Trifolium pratense (red clover)
Lineage: Eukaryota; Viridiplantae; Streptophyta; Magnoliopsida; Fabales; Fabaceae
Description: long non-coding RNA (TPRA_LNC007409)
Source: RNAcentral
CCAGUCUUUUAGGUUGGGUUACCAUCAUAAGUAAUUCGCAGUAGGCAUUAGUCCCAUCUUCUUAGAUGUAUUAUGGACUUCAUUUUAGCUAUUCCUUUCGUCAAAGGAAAUGCUAAACUUUCAUCAGUGUGUACAUGACCCAUUCUUACAGCUCCUUUUGAGAGUAACUCUCUCACUACGCUGUGUUUACUUCUUAUUUGACGUCUCUUAUCGUUAUAAUAACGAUUCUCAAUUUAUGCAAUAGCCGCGGUACUAUCGCAAUGGAUCAACACAUCUGACAUAAAUUAUUCCUUAAAGGAAUUUCAGCUAGCAAGUAUUUUAACCAUCUUGCUUCUUCACUAACAAUCGUUAAUGUUAUCAUUUCAGACACCAUAGUGGACUAAGCCAAUAUGGUC